GAUGAAGAACGCAGCAAAAUGCGAUAAGUAAUGUGAAUUGCAGAAUUCAGUGAAUCAUCGAAUCUUUGAACGCACAUUGCGCCCGCCAGUAUUCUGGCGGGCAUGCCUGUUCGAGCGUCAUUUCAACCCUCAAGCACAGCUUGGUGUUGGGACUCGCGUUAAUUCGCGUUCCCCAAAUUGAUUGGCGGUCACGUCGAGCUUCCAUAGCGUAGUAGUAAAACCCUCGUUACUGGUAAUCGUCGCGGCCACGCCGUUAAACCCCAACUUCUGAAUGAUGACCUCGGAUCAGGUAGGAAUACCCGCUGAACUUAAGCAUAUCAAUAAGCGGAGGA
Molecule: unclassified non-coding RNA, 332 nt
Filed under: soil metagenome
Description: partial contains 5.8S ribosomal RNA, internal transcribed spacer 2, and large subunit ribosomal RNA
Rfam family: 5.8S ribosomal RNA (bases 1-120)
Source: RNAcentral